CAGAGGGUGCAAGCGUUGUUCGGAAUUACUGGGCGUAAAGCGCGCGCAGGCGGAUCCUGCAAGUCAGAAGUGAAAUCUCACUGCUCAACGGUGAGGCUGCUUUUGAUACUGCGGUUCUGGAGACCGGUAGAGGCUGGUAGAAUUGCAGGUGUAGCGGUGGAAUGCGUAGAGAUCUGCAUGAAUACCCGUGGCGAAGGCGGCCAGCUGGGCCGGUUCUGACGCUGAGGCGCGAAAGCGUGGGGAGCAAACAGGAUUAGAUACCCUGGUAGUCCACGCCGUAAACGAUGGGCACUAGGUGCUGGGGGGAGCGACCCCGUCAGUGCCGCAGCUAACGCGAUAAGUGCCCCGCCUGGGGAGUACGGCCGCAAGGCUG
RNAcentral lists this ribosomal RNA (373 nucleotides) under uncultured organism. RNAcentral describes it as "bacterial SSU rRNA". It matches the Rfam family "Bacterial small subunit ribosomal RNA", at positions 526 to 896 of the family's 1533-position model. The record is from RNAcentral.